Molecule: non-coding RNA, 582 nt
Organism: Paramuricea clavata
Lineage: Eukaryota; Metazoa; Cnidaria; Anthozoa; Malacalcyonacea; Plexauridae
Source: the annotation of a GenBank genome assembly
AAGUCCCAUGCAAAGGUGCAAACCCCGAAGCAGCGAAUACCUACAUAAAUAUAAAUACACACAUACAUAAAAUACAAAUAUAUAAAAGCCGCUUCCCCCUAUUAGUAUGCACCAUGAACACAACCACCUGAAUGCUUCACGGAUGUGUUAGCAAAAUAAUUUCAAACUCACAAGCAUAAUGAAUGCUUCACGGAUGUAUUUGCAUAAUAAUUUCAAACUCACAAGCAUAAUGAAUGCUUCACGGAUGUAUUUGCAUAAUAAUUUCAAACUCACAAGCAUAAUGUGGUUGCAUUCAGUGAACACAAUAAGAGGAACCGUCUAUUAAAACUACUUAAGAUCUGUGGCAGGGGCAGUCCCGCACCAGUGUCCAGGUGCAUGGCAUGUCCACGUCAAAUGUUGCCGUAACCAAGUUAGCGUAAGUGGCUUUAAGAGAUCUUUUGAAGAUGGAGAGGAUGGCAAAGGUGGUAGAGGGAAGAAUUUUGCAGACGUGGUUCCAUAACUUGACAAGCCGGUUGAAAUAUGAGGAUUGAAAUGUUUUGGAUUUACAGAAAGGAAUUUUGAGUGUGAGAGAAGGAUUUCGAC